GAUGAACGCUGGCGGCGUGCUUAACACAUGCAAGUCGAACGGAAAGGCUCCUGCUUGCAGGGGUACUCGAUUGGCGAACGGGUGAGUAACACGUGUGUGAUCUGCCCUGCACUUCGUGAUAAGCCUGGGAAACUGGGUCUAAUACCGGAUAUGACGAUUUUUUCGAUGCCAUUGUGUAAUGUUUUUCGGUGUGGGUUGAGCUCGCGGCCUAUUAGCUUGUUGGUGGGGUAAUGGCCUACCAAGGCGUCGACGGGUAGCCGGCCUGAGAGGGGGUACGGCCACAUUGGGACUGAGGUAGGGACCAGAAGCCAACGGGAGGCAGUAGUGGGGAGUCUUGCACAAUGGGGGCAAGCCUGAUGCAACGACGCCGCGUGGGGGAUGACGGCCUUCGGGGUGUAAACUACUGUGGCUGGGGACGAAGCGCAAGUGACGGUACCUGGAGAAGAAGCACCGGCUAACUACGUG
This 465-nucleotide ribosomal RNA is filed under the name uncultured bacterium. RNAcentral describes it as "partial 16S ribosomal RNA". It matches the Rfam family "Bacterial small subunit ribosomal RNA", at positions 28 to 507 of the family's 1533-position model. The record is from RNAcentral.